UACGGAGGGUGCGAGCGUUGUCCGGAAUCACUGGGCGUAAAGGGCGCGUAGGUGGCGCGGGCAGUCAACGGUGAAAGUUCGGGGCUCAACCCUGAAUCGGCCGUCGAUACUCCCGUGCUCGAGCACUGUAGAGGCAGGUGGAAUUUCGGGUGUAGCGGUGGAAUGCGUAGAGAUCCGGAAGAACACCGGUGGCGAAGGCGGCCUGCUGGGCAGUAGCUGACGCUGAUGCGCGACAGCGUGGGGAGCAAACAGG
RNAcentral lists this ribosomal RNA (253 nucleotides) under uncultured bacterium. RNAcentral's name for it is "partial 16S ribosomal RNA". It matches the Rfam family "Bacterial small subunit ribosomal RNA", at positions 524 to 776 of the family's 1533-position model. The record is from RNAcentral.